CCUACGGGAGGCAGCAGUGGGGAAUCUUGCGCAAUGGGCGAAAGCCUGACGCAGCCAUGCCGCGUGAAUGAUGAAGGUCUUAGGAUUGUAAAAUUCUUUCACCGGGGACGAUAAUGACGGUACCCGGAGAAGAAGCCCCGGCUAACUUCGUGCCAGCAGCCGCGGUAAUACGAAGGGGGCUAGCGUUGCUCGGAAUUACUGGGCGUAAAGGGAGCGUAGGCGGAUAGUUUAGUCAGAGGUGAAAGCCCAGGGCUCAACCUUGGAAUUGCCUUUGAUACUGGCUAUCUUGAGUAUGGGAGAGGUUAGCGGAACUCCGAGUGUAGAGGUGAAAUUCGUAGAUAUUCGGAAGAACACCAGUGGCGAAGGCGGCUAACUGGCCCAUUACUGACGCUGAGGCUCGAAAGCGUGGGGAGCAAACAGGAUUAGAUACCCUGGUAGUCCACGCCGUAAACGAUGAGUGCUAGUUGUCGGCAUGCAUGCAUGUCGGUGACGCAGCUAACGACAUAAGUACACCUCCGCCGUCGGGGUAGGUACGGGUCCGGCGAAGAAGUUAAAACGUUAACGUAAAUUAGUUAAGUUAGUUACGGCGUGAGACGUUGCCGACGGACGACCGACGAGGGGAGGAGG
This 627-nucleotide ribosomal RNA is filed under the name uncultured bacterium. RNAcentral describes it as "bacterial SSU rRNA". The stretch from base 1 to 517 matches the Rfam family "Bacterial small subunit ribosomal RNA", at positions 338 to 873 of the family's 1533-position model. The record is from RNAcentral.